Molecule: non-coding RNA, 1534 nt
Organism: Pelobates cultripes (western spadefoot toad)
Lineage: Eukaryota; Metazoa; Chordata; Amphibia; Anura; Pelobatidae
Source: the annotation of a GenBank genome assembly
CCAAAAACCUCAAAACACACAAUAUCCCCACAAAUCUUACAUGCCCUGAUAGCCCUGAUCUGGGUGACCAACAAAUCCCCAAAUCACCCAGAUCAGUUCAUGGGUACAGACAUUUUAUGGAAGUCAUAUUUUUUACCGACUGCGGGCAUGGUCCCAUAGCCGAAAAUAGUUCCAUAGAAUAGUGGCUAAGUGCCGCUGGGGGACCGACUGGGAACUAGAAGGUUUUCAUGCCGAAAAUAGUUUUAGGGAAUUCGGGCUAAGUCCCCUGUAAGGAAACCAAGUACAUUUAAACCUCAAUCGAGAGUUUCCUCCCGAACCGCCAGAGCCUAGUGAACAUAGCCCUCCGUUCGGUAGUUAUGAUAGACGAAUCCUAGUGUAGUUCCAAUAGUGCCACUGGAUAAUUCCCUCAGUAAAACACACAAAUCCCCAAACAGCAUACGUUGUCAGAAGAAGGGUACAAAGAUGAACUAAGGAUUUAUUGAUAGGCAUUCUCUUUUUAUGGGAUCCUGCCCAUGCAAGGGAGCCUCCCAUAUAAUUAACUGUACAACCAAUCAUAACAAUAUACAUACUGUACAUCUCCUCCCCUCAGAUAACCAAUUAACCCAAUUAAAACGGAAUACAUUUUCCCCAAAGUCUGGAUGUACUCUGGGGGACCAACAUAUGAAAAAUCAGUCGAUUCGGUUCAGCCGUUCGGGAGAUAUGGGACUUAGAAGUUUUGACCGACUGCACGGGCAAAGUAGCCGAAAACAGUUCCACGAAUUCUGGCCCUGCAGUCGGUCUUAGGUCGCGUGUAAAACCUCUCGAACGGCCGGCCAUCCAGAUGCCAUCCGGGGUUCGCUGAACUCCCCAUCUGUUAGUAAUUCUUUCUACCGAAUGCCCGGUCAUUCGGUAGUUUUAGUGGGGUUCUACCGAAGGUAUGGAGGAUUCAGCGGUGUUCGCCUAUUUGAGUGUCCGUUUUCAGUUCCAGACACUUGACGGCAAACACCUCUGUUCGGGAGUUAAAAUGGCCGCAAACACGUGGAAGUCCCGAAAUGGCGGCGGUGCAUACAGUUCGUGCAGAACUUUAGGCGAACAUGCCCAACAGGCAGGGAGGUAAAGUACUCAUAAUGGGCACCGGGGUGGUCUCGAUUCGGUAGUUUUACCUACCGAAUGCCAUAGGGGAAGAUAACAUGAAACAAGGGAAUACAAAUUGUCAUUUUGAAGCCACAUAGGGGGAUUUCUUCACAUCCCCCUAAAGUCUAUUCGCGGUUUUGGUCCAUGCGAACAAGAUGGCCACCACCUCGUGGUCGAAUUGCACUUCAAAUGGCUUUGGGAGUUCAAAGUGCCGCUUCAAAAGUUCGAAUUCUGGCCAUACAAGUACAAAAAGGCACACACGGUGGUUUUAACCAGGAUUUAACACAAGGGCCAUAGUCACAGGGCAAGAGGCUGACAAGUAUGCCCCUCCAAGAACGCGUGACGAGGUCCAGUUCAUCACAUAAUUUCUUUCCCCUUUUUUUUAACAUUUUUUGCAUUACUUAUUGAUUUUUUCUUUUUU